UGCUCGUGAUUGUAUGUCCUAAGUAUAG
Molecule: small RNA, 28 nt
Filed under: Bombyx mori (domestic silkworm)
Lineage: Eukaryota; Metazoa; Arthropoda; Insecta; Lepidoptera; Bombycidae
Description: ovarian small RNA-34185
Source: RNAcentral